Long non-coding RNA from Corvus hawaiiensis (hawaiian crow), 1320 nucleotides. RefSeq lists it as uncharacterized. NCBI's taxonomy places the organism in Eukaryota, Metazoa, Chordata, Aves, Passeriformes, Corvidae. The record is from RefSeq and is a predicted model, not a curated record. The transcript has 2 exons.
UCCAUCAGCCCUCUGGCCCUUCCCUGGGAUCCUGCAUGUGCUGUUGCCUUGGCACACAACACACAUGCAAGCCUGAAGCUUCCCAGAAGCUCUGAAAGAGGCACAACAUGGAUCUGGGAAAGGCCAGGCUGAGGCACAUCUGUGUCCUACAGCUGUGGGCAAUGAAGGGUUAGUUUCUCUCCAGGCUCUGAAGGCACAUCUCUGAAGCAUCAGGCUAUUUCUGCUCAGCAUGUCUGAUUUCAGAUGAGAGCUCUGCUGUGGGAUAGAGCUGGCAUGUGGGAUAAGAGGGAAUAAAAUUAUGCACAGGAUAUUUUGGUGCAGGGUUUCCUACACCUACUUCUAUUGUCCUUCUCUGACUGAAGGCUCCAUCUGGUACAUUCAUGGCUGGGCACAGUGGCUGGAGGGCAGCAGAAGGCGGAGCAAGAGCCACGCUGGGCCAGGACUUUCAUCUCCUCCAUCCUACCCCUUGGGCCAGUCCCUCUGAACACCUGAUGCCCAAAACAGGCGACAAAACUGAGGAAUGCUAUUACUGUUGUUGUUAUUAUUAAUAAUAAUAAUUAAUGUUUGGAGCAAACAGGCUGUUCUGUCCCCACCAAGGCCAUGUGUAGAGGCCCAGUGACCACAACCAGGGACUUUCAGGAAGGAUGACCUGUGGUGUCUGUUGAGGCCAGCACUGCCGUGGGGGUGUCAGAGGAGCGAGGGUGGCAGGAAGGGGUUGGGCAGGAGCUGUCCUGAGCACGUCAUAGGUUACAAGGUAAGAUGUAACCAAAAGUAUGUAUUCUAUCACCAUCUUCAUAAGAUGUUAAAACCAGGUGAGGCAGUGCUCUUUAUCCCUUCCAUGACUCAUCCCUGAUAACUCCCUCCGGAGAGAUAUCUUCUGUUAAUGAGCCAGCUGUUAAACACAGGUGGGGCAGUGUUCUUUAUCUGAUACCUCCCUCCAGGAGAUAUCUUCUGUUAAUGGGCCAUCAAGGCCUCAUUGCAUGACUCAUAAAAUGACACCAUCCCAUUAUGAGACGCUCCGCCCAGGGGGAGGAACCAAGCAUUCCUAGCCGGAUAUAAUCCGAGGUUUGGAACACCACUAGCCUUGCCUACUGGAUUCCCAGAGGACAAGAGCUGCAUAACCACUGCUGGACCUUCAGAGGAGCAUCAGACCCUUCCACACGAUCACCACAUCAACGGGAUUGCAGCCACCAUUUAAUGGGACUGCUACCACCACCCUGCCCGGCAGGGUGGCACAUUGCAUCCUGACUCUGGCAGUUUAAGCCAGUGUUUCUGUAUUUUUGCCUUUAUCUUAAUUUUCCUAUUAAACUGUAAUUGUGA